AUGCAUGUGUCAGUACAGGCCGCUCUAAGGCGAAACCGCGAAUGGCUCAUUAAAUCAGUUAUGAUUCAUUUGAUCUCACUCCCAUUACUUGGAUAACCCUGGUAAUUCUAGAGCUAAUACGUGACAACAACUACUCCGACUGGAAGGGAGGAGUGCUUUUAUUAGAUGAAAACCAAUCGGGCCUCGGUCCGCCAAACACAAACUGUGCUGAUUCUGAAUAACUUUGUGCCGAGAGCAUGGCCUCCGCGCCGGCUCCGUAUCUUUCGAGUUUCUGCCUUAUCAUGCUGUGGAUUGUAGGCCAUGCGCCUACUGUGGCUGUUACGGGUGACGGAGAAUCAG
Molecule: ribosomal RNA, 339 nt
Filed under: Mirocaris fortunata
Lineage: Eukaryota; Metazoa; Arthropoda; Malacostraca; Decapoda; Alvinocarididae
Description: SSU rRNA
Rfam family: Eukaryotic small subunit ribosomal RNA
Source: RNAcentral